Molecule: non-coding RNA, 558 nt
Organism: Pelobates cultripes (western spadefoot toad)
Lineage: Eukaryota; Metazoa; Chordata; Amphibia; Anura; Pelobatidae
Source: the annotation of a GenBank genome assembly
GGUUGCGUUAUUUACUAUUGACUGAAUUGAAUCAACUCAACACAGUCACAGCUAUUUUUCAAAUGAAGAUGCAUGGGUUGCUUUUUGAAAAUAGCUCCAGUUAAGGGUAAGGGAAAGUUGGUUUUAAAGGGACACUCUGAGUACUAUAACCACUUCAUAUCAAUGCAAUGGUUAUAGUGCCUUGGGUCAUCUCUCCAUUCAAGAUUUAACACCGAAUUAUGGUCUCCCCUGCAGCCCUAGUACCUCUGCUAAACACUGCCAUCCUAAUUCGUAGCAGCAAUGAGUGUUCUAGGCAGAAAACGCUCAGCCUAUCACUGUUGCCAUUUUUGCUUGGUUUAUUAACAGUUUGACUCUUAUCUUGCUGUAUCAGGUGUCCAUGUUCUUUCCUGUCUGAGUUGGUCUUAUAAAGCAGAGGUUUAUACUUUAGUGUUAUCACACCACCUAAUAUCAGGUUUAAACAGUAUUCAUUGACUGGUGAUCAACUGAUAGCUCUCAGGCAAUAAAUGCUGUUUAAAUCAGGUGUGAGCUGGUAAGUAUGAAUUUAUGCUUUGUCAGACC